UAAUAAAUGAUCUGUGGGGUAUUUUGAGCUGAAACUUCACAGGCAUUCUGGGACACCCAAGACCAAUAUUACAUCUUGAUUUCAUGAUCGUGAAAUGCUAUAUUUCUUACCGCAUUUGAAUGAGGAAGAUGCUUUUCAUGUCGCUAUACUGAGAUGGAAUGAGCUCUGCCGUUCUCGUCUUUAUGGGGUGAUGAUGUGGAGCAGUUAGAGGGUCGUGGUGACAGGACACAUCGCACUCCACAUGCUGUGAGAACAUAAACAGAGAUCUUGAUUAAUAGGGUUUAAAUGGCUUUAACUGCACCCGCUUCCAGCAACAACUGAAUCCCGAGAGGAUUCUUGAGUCACUAAGGGACCUCCCCUGAAGCAUGCUGUUGCUAUAGGCACCAGUGUUUGGAGAAGAUGAUCCAUGUUGAUGUACUGGAAAUGUUUUAAGAGGUGGGACCCCUCUCUGGUUUGUGACUUGGAGCUGUAGUCUUUGUUCCACUAUGGAGUCCCAUGCCAUUGAGCCUGCUGUUCUGAUGGGUCCUGUGUGCUCUCUGAAACUUCUCACGGGACAGAAAUGCAUCGCAUGGCUCUGCGCAUUUUUGCUCACGGGUCAGCAUGGGGCACCUUGCUGAAUCUAAUGUGAUUGCUUACAAGUUACACCUAGAGAAUGUAAGAAGAAGAACGACAGAGAAAACAUACAGUGAAUAAUGAACAUAAAUCAUGUGUUGGGUCAUUUCUGUUACGCAUUAUCAUUUGAACUGUGUACUUUAACUUUAACAAAAUUACUAUGCCCUUAAGGAUAUAUUUCUAUAAUUAUGCCAGACUUCCAAAAAUAUGUUCUGGUCAAACUCAACUUUAAUAAUGAUGACUUGAUUAUUUACACAACAGAAAGAAAAUAAACAUGAUGCAAUCUAACAAGUUCAAAAUAAAGAGAUGAAUGUACC
This is a long non-coding RNA of Cyprinus carpio carpio, 929 nucleotides long. The record is from Ensembl. Lineage: Eukaryota; Metazoa; Chordata; Actinopteri; Cypriniformes; Cyprinidae.